This is a long non-coding RNA of Lactuca sativa (garden lettuce), 710 nucleotides long. RefSeq lists it as uncharacterized. The record is from RefSeq and is a predicted model, not a curated record. Lineage: Eukaryota; Viridiplantae; Streptophyta; Magnoliopsida; Asterales; Asteraceae.
AAUUUAAUAGGUUUUUAGUACUGCUGACACAAUGGAUACUUGGAAUUGGUUCCAUACAGAAUAAGGAAAAGAGAAAAAAUUGAUUCUCUUUCCACCUAAUUGAUUCUUUAUUUUUGGUAGAGAAAAUGUGGGAAAAAUAGAGAUAAUAAGGUGUCGUGAGAUUAAAAAAAAUGAUGGAAAAGAAGGGCAACCUUUAUCCACUCACGUUCAAACCCUACAACGUCUAUCUCAAGACGAUUUCCUAUCUAUCUCAAAACAAUUUUCCCUUCUAUUCAGGAUUUUGGCAGCCAAAGUUAUCUAGUUCCCCUCACAUUCAUGUUUUAAUCAUUUCCUCUCUCCUAUGAAGAUUUUGCGUCUAGUGCUGUGGAUUUUGAAAACCAAAUUCUCCAAUUAAGGUACAGUUGGUGAUCAUGCAAGGUUUGACCUUGUGUUGUGGUCCAACAAACCUAGGAGCAAUCCAAUAUUAUGUUGUGGGCACGAGGGAAAUUUAGUCUUAUGUUGUGGGCCCGGGGGCAAUCCAUUCUUAUGUUGUGGGCCAAGGGGCAAUCCAGUCUUAUGUUUUAUGUUGUGGGCCAGGUACCGUUGGUGAUCGUGGGAAGGGAAAGGCAUGAUUGUACACACACAUCAGCAACAAUGGAGAUUCAGUAAUAUUUAUAUUGCUCGGAUUUAAAACAACUGUAUUUUGGAACCAAUUGGUUUUAAUAACUUCC